Gossypium hirsutum (cotton) is the source of this 107-nucleotide non-coding RNA. The record is from Rfam. NCBI's taxonomy places the organism in Eukaryota, Viridiplantae, Streptophyta, Magnoliopsida, Malvales, Malvaceae.
AAACCAUGAUGAGGACACAUCCUCAAAAGAUCCUUCAGUCUCUCUCAUACAUCAUAUAAUGUCUCCAAAUCAAUUUGAGCAAAAAAAGAGAUGUCAUUCCUCAACUU